This 396-nucleotide ribosomal RNA is filed under the name uncultured bacterium. RNAcentral's name for it is "bacterial SSU rRNA". It matches the Rfam family "Bacterial small subunit ribosomal RNA", at positions 505 to 898 of the family's 1533-position model. The record is from RNAcentral.
GUGCCAGCCGCCGCGGUAAUACAAAAGGUGCGAGCGUUGUUCGAAAUUAUUAAACAUAAAGCGCGCGUAGGCGGCUCUUCAAGUCUUACGGUGAAAGACCGGGGCUCAACCCCGAGCAUGCCGGGGAUACUAGGGGGCUGGAGACAGGCAGAGGCCAGCGGAAUUCCGAAUGUAGCGAUAAAAUGCGUAGAGAUCCGGAAGAACACCGGAGGCGAAGGCGGCUGGCUGGGCCUGAUCUGACGCUGAGGUGCGAAAGCGUGGGAAGCGAACAGGAUUAGAUACCCUGGUAGUCCACGCCGUAAACGAUGGGCACUAGAUGCUGGGGGGAUCGACCCCUUCGGUGUCGCAGCUAACGCAUUAAAUGCCCCGCCUGAGAAGUACGACCGCAAGGCUGAA